GACCCGCAGCGAACGGCUCCGUANGACGUGGUCAAGCUACCCUGUGGACUGGGACACUCUNNGGAAACUUUUGGCUAAUCCUANAUAGCGUUUUUAGCCUGGAGUGGCAGAAACGCCAAACGCUCCGGCGCCACAGGAUGCGACUGCGGCCGAUUAGGUAGACGGUGGGGUAACGGCCCACCGUGCCGAUAAUCGGUACGGGUAGUGAGAGCUAGAGCCCGGAGACGGACUCUGAGACAAGAGUCCGGGCCCUACGGGGCGCANCAGGCGCGAAACCUUUACACUGCGCGACAGCGCGAUAGGGGGAUCCCAAGUGCGAGGGCAUACAGUCCUCGCUUUUUCCUACCGUAAGGUGGUAGGCGAA
RNAcentral lists this ribosomal RNA (364 nucleotides) under uncultured Halococcus sp. RNAcentral's name for it is "bacterial SSU rRNA". It matches the Rfam family "Archaeal small subunit ribosomal RNA", at positions 73 to 435 of the family's 1478-position model. The record is from RNAcentral. Lineage: Archaea; Methanobacteriati; Methanobacteriota; Halobacteria; Halobacteriales; Halococcaceae.